GACCUCGUUCUCUUCGGAGGUUCGGGCGCUCCCCGACCUCGUUCUCUUCGGAGGUUCGGGCGAGCGCUGAGCUUGUCUCAGGCUCUGGGAUCCUCCUUGGGGCGUAUCUGGAGGAGGGCCCCUGAUUCCAGAUGUUUGUGUCCGCAAGUUAAGCAAAAUGUGAAGGCACCCGAGUGGAACUAUCUCCAUGCAUCGUUGCAGCUUGAGGAUAACAUCCUAUCCCCCAAAUCACCAAGUCAAUCUGGACUGCAAUUCAAAUCAAAGGGCUACGAAGGUGGCCUCCUCACUCAUUUUGCAACGGGAACAAGCUUUCACAUGGUCCAAUUCAAGAGGAGUCAUCAGAGGAAGAACUUAGCUCAGGCUCUUUAAAAUGAAAGGCUUACUUCAGACACCCACGCCGAGGACCCUACACAGGACUCAGCAAAGCUGGAUGAAGGUGGCAAGUUUCCUAUUUCAAAUCAGCGCAAAAGAGGAGGCUGACUCCUGCCCAGAUACAUAAUCCCUCCGGACCUUCUUUGGCCUCGGUCCUACUGCUUUUUGCUGGAGGCAGCCCCGUGUGGCUCGGAGGACUUGAAAUGUGGGCUGCACCAGACUGAGACGUGCGGGAAAUGCAGAAUCCAUAACACACUGGAUUCCAAACACUUAGCGUAAAAACAGAACGAAAAAGGCAAUUUAACAUCGUAUCAACGGCUCACGUUUGCAGCUCGUAUAUUUCUUUGGGACAGAUCACCUUGUAGGAUGUGGGAAAAGCAAAGGUAGAGAUUUGGGGGGGGAUGGUGUGGACAGGAAGUCCGUGUGGACAACCAGGCCAUUUUUGACAACAGAGAACAAACAACUAAGGGCUUAUGGAGUGGGGAAUGGCAACCCCAAGAGACAAAGCUCAGAAGGAAGGACCAAGAGGGAGAACCUGCAGUUCAACCAAGUGGACUCAUCAGCCUGCGGCAGAUGUUGGUCUAGAAUGAAGAAACUGCUAUCCAUGUGUCCAUUUGUUCAUUCACUCACUUAACAAGCAGUACGCACAGGAGUCUACUCUGCCAAAUGUCACUGAGAAGCACCUGAUGGGGUGUCAGAGACAGCAAGGUGGCCACUGGCUGAUAGCUUAGGGGGUUGAACAUGGGGAAGAAGUCAUCUUAGAUGCGUAUGGUGACCACAGACCCUUGUUAAACUUCUUCCUUUAAUUCCACUGCGGUCUUUGGUUGAGGCCUGGCAGCUAAGGCAGUGAUCUUGGGCUCUUUUCCUGGAGUAGCUUCUGGACUUAGAAGGGGCCUCUUGGCUAUGUCAAGGGAAAACCCCCUUACAGACAGGGGUCUGCAGGGUGGUCCCACCAGCCCCAAGGCUCAGUGCUCUGGCAGCUGGUUUCAUCUCUCAGAACCACAACUUUAGGCCUGAAAGGGAAUUCUGAGCUCAUCCAGCAUUGUGAGUGGGAUGCAGAAGCAGGAACCCUUAGGGGUCAAGGGCCUCCAUAAUGAACAACUGCCUACCCACCCAUAGUGCCCAUGUGGGAUGUCCCCCUUCGUUCACCGCAAUGCCCCACAAACGCGUAGGGUUUCUGUCCAGUUAUGUUAUGUCAUUGUAGAUGGAAGACUGCUCCUGUGCUUUGGCCACCCCCCACCCCCAUCAUUUAUCUCCAGGGAGCAUUCGGCAUUGGCCCCUUGGCCCUUGGAAGCCCAGGGCCUCAGGAGCUACGGGGUCUCUGUGGCUGUCCCUGCUGGGGGCCUCCCCUGCUGAACCCUGUUACCCACAUUCUCCUGCCUCGGUCACUAGGGUCCUUAAUGCCUAAAGAGCUUCUGUGGUGGGAAAGAACCCCCGUUUGUGUUUGUAUGGUUGACCCUUGACCAACACGGGUUGGGGCCCCAACCCCUUGUGAUGUCAAAAAUCUGCAUAUGACUUUGAAUUCCCCCAAAACUUAACUACUAAGAGCCUACUGUUGGCUAGAAGCCUUUCUGAUAACAUAAACAGUCAAUUACCACAUAUUGUGUGUUAUACGUAUUAUAUACUGCAUUCUUAGAAUAGAGUCAGCUAGAGAAAAGAAAAUGGUUAAGAAAAUCAUAAGGAAAAGAAAAUACAUUUACUCUACUGUAUUUACUGAAAAAAAUCAAUGUCUAAGUGGACCCGCGCAGUCAAACCCACGUCGUUCAAGGGUCAAUUGUAUUUAUUUUUAAAAGUUCAAUUUACUAAACUUGAAAGUGGACGAAGCACAUUCAGCUGGGGAAGAGGAGAAAAUUCUGGAAACGGAUGGUGGUGAGGUACAAUGUGAAUGACUUAAUGCCACUGAAAUGUACACUUAAAAACAGUUAAGAUGGCAAAAUGAUGAUAGGGAUAUUUUGCCGCAACAAAAAAAGCUGAUUAAACACAAAUUUUCAGGACCAACUAUUUUCACAAUUACCACAAUCUAUGAACUUGAGAACCCAAAGUCUCUUAAGGAUUCUAUUAAGUCACAAGUCUUUACAGGCUUCAGAUACUUGCAAAGCAUCCACAGAUCCUAACACUAAGAGCAAAAUGGGGUUUGCUUACUCGGGACCCAAUACAUCAUUUGUGAGGCCUACUACAAAGUGAACACGUGAGGUCCUUGUUCCAAAUGCAGGAAAAAUGUGCUAUUAAGGGUACUAACAUAUAAUGUGCUUUCCUUGCUUCUGCAAUCUCUCUCUCCAGCUGUCUUGGAGCUUUUAUCUGCUAUUUCAUGCCCUUCUCCCUUGGGCAGAGACCUGAGGAAGGGAUGCCCAUGGGCGAGGGCUGACCCUCACACAGACCUGGGUCACCACCACUCAACUCGUCAUGCAUAUACUUUACCAGCUGCACAGUCCUGACCAGUGUGCCAUGCCCCAGCUGGGGACAAGUUGAGCCAGGCACCUCCCCGUCCCACGGGUCCUCUACAGCAACCCACAGCUGUCAAGCAACCCCAAGGGGUCACAUCCUCUAUACCAGGACUUUGGGUAUCUGGACCAGGAUAGGCAAGAGGCUUGUCCAAAUGCCCUGGGGCACUGCCAGCCCUGGGUGGAGACAGAUGCCACCAUGUCCCACCCUGCACUUGUCCCCGACCACCACCCUGCCCAUGACCAUACCCCUGUAUCGGUGAUGGGCAGCAGUGAUCACUGAGUUGGGGCAGGGAAGGGAAGGCUAGGUGGGUGGGCCUGGGGCUUCCAGGGGCUGGGGAGCUGACAGCUAAGAACAGCAGCUUCUGACGCAGACUCACAUCUGACAUGGAGCAAAAAACCUCCAGGCAACUCAGAGCAGAGAAGUCGGUCCUCUCCCGAGGAAGCUGCCAGGGAGUGGAUGCGUGCAUGUCAGGAGCUCAGAAGGAAGCCAGGCAGGCGGGCACAUGGAGGAAGGGAGACACCCCCCAUCCCCCCCAGACAGCCCAGCCCCGCACGCCCUUGAAUUAAAUGCCUGAAGUGACAGAAAAGUCACUGGGUUGAGAUAAGAGAAACUAGGAGCAUCUCUAUAAAGCUGUUUGCCAACAGGCAGCCUGGGGCCGCGGAGAAAGAAAAGUAAAUUGAAUUAUUGAAACCAAAAGCGGUGUAAAGGCACAUUUCUGAAUUUCAUGGAUACGGUGACUCUGAAAUUUAAAUAAGUGACAUCGGCGAUGCUCCUUAAUCAACCUGGGCUAAACAAGGGGACAAAGAAAACAAAGAAUAAGAAUGAGAGCAAAAAAAUAAGGGGGCAAAUGGCUAGGAAAAACAGCUCAACUGCCAGGGGUGGAGAACGCUUCCAAAUGCUGAGCUCCCGCUACUAUGGGGUUGUCCCAGGAAGGGUGUCCCAGGAAUGCACAUCCCCUGCAGGCUUCUGGGGUGCCGGCCCUGGCCACAGCCUCGCUUCCUGUCCACACCUGGAAAGCACAGCUGAUGCCCACAUGGGGCUCACGUGAGGGUCAGGAGGAGAAGACUUAACCUGUAGUGUAUCCGAGCCCACAAAACUCAUGAUGCACUUCAACAUCUAGCGCAAAUAACUCUGCAACAGGAAACCCCAUAAAACGAGCACAUUCUCUGCUCUUCUGCAUAAAAACAGUGCCUGGGAGACAUCUGUGCUAUCAUCUUUGUGGGGAAUUACAAUACACAUAAAACCGUUUAUAGAAGCCUUUUCCUCUUUGAAUAAAGUGUUCAAAAUAAGGGAAGCUAGGUACAAAGAAGGAAGGCUAUGUUUUUUAGAGAGCCUCCUUGGCUUCACCACCGGAAUCUGCCCCCACCUCUCGGAAGCUUUAUAUUCUUGCCUUUCUGCGGGGAGGGCUGAGCUCCAGGCGAAAGCAGCUCCUGAGCGGUUCGCUUCCCUCCGCGGCCCCCAGAGCAUCCGCCGCCUGGCUGGGCUUCUCAUGCCGGGGAAACCCAGGCUGGCUCAUUCAAAGUGAGGUCUUAUGGGUUUUCUUUAUUUUGAAUUUUUAAAAUUGUGAGGAAAGGAACAGAACAUCAAAUUUACCGUAGCAACCAUUUUUAAGGGUACGGUUCAGUGGCAUGAAAUACAUCUGCACUGGCAUGAAGCUGUCCAUCACCACCAUCCAUCUCCGGAACUUUUUCAUCUCCCCGCCCAACUGAAACUCUGUCCCCAUUAAACACUAAUUUCCGGGGCGCCUGGGUGGCUCAGUUGGUUAAGCGACUGCCUUCGGCUCAGGACAUGAUCCUGGAGUCCCUGGAUCGAGUCCCACAUCAGGCUCCCUGCUCGGCGGGGAGUCUGCUUCUCCCUCUGAUCCUCCCCCUCUCAUGUGCUCUCUCUCUCUCUCAUUCUCUCUCUC
Mirounga angustirostris (Northern elephant seal) is the source of this 4723-nucleotide long non-coding RNA. RefSeq lists it as uncharacterized. The transcript has 5 exons. Lineage: Eukaryota; Metazoa; Chordata; Mammalia; Carnivora; Phocidae. The record is from RefSeq and is a predicted model, not a curated record.